GAUGAACGCUAGCGGCAGGCCUAACACAUGCAAGUCGAGGGGUAGCAGGAUUAAGCUUGCUUAAUUGCUGACGACCGGCGCACGGGUGCGUAACGCGUAUGCAACCUACCUUAUACUGGGGUAUAGCCCGGAGAAAUUCGGAUUAAUCCCCCAUAGUACUAAUGAAUCGCAUGGUUUGUUAGUUAAAGCAUUGCGGUAUAAGAUGGGCAUGCGUCCUAUUAGCUAGAUGGUGAGGUAACGGCUCACCAGGGCUACGAUAGGUAGGGGGCCUGAGAGGGUGGUCCCCCACACUGGUACUGAGACACGGACCAGACUCCUACGGGAGGCAGCAGUGAGGAAUAUUGGUCAAUGGGCGCAAGCCUGAACCAGCCAUGCCGCGAGCAGGAAGAAUGCCCUAUGGGUUGUAAACUGCUUUUAUUUGGGAAUAAACCUCUUUACGUGUAGAGAGCUGAAGGUACCAAAUGAAUAAGCACCGGCUAACUCCGUGCCAGCCGCCGCAGUAA
RNAcentral lists this ribosomal RNA (503 nucleotides) under uncultured bacterium. Its description in RNAcentral is "partial 16S ribosomal RNA". It matches the Rfam family "Bacterial small subunit ribosomal RNA", at positions 28 to 523 of the family's 1533-position model. The record is from RNAcentral.